GGCUGCUUCAAUAUCUAUUUUACACAGAGAUGUUAAGUCAUCGAACAUUCUCUUGGAUGAUCACUUCACAGCAAAAGUAUCAGAUUUUGGGGCUUCAAGAUUUAUUCCACUUGAUCAAACUCAUAUAGUUACCGGCAUUCAAGGUACCUUUGGAUACUUGGAUCCAGAGUAUUAUCAAACAAGUCAAUUGACAGAGAAGAGCGAUGUUUAUAGCUUUGGGGUCAUUCUUUUGGAGCUUUUAACAGGAAAGAAACCUAUUUUCUCCGUCGAACAUGAGAAUAAACAGAACCUGUCAAUAUAUUUUCUCCAAGCACUACAAGAGAAGCGCUAUUUUGAUCUCGUGGAAGAUCGUGUUAUGAAAGAAGGGACUAAACAAGAACUUAUGGAAGUUAUUCAACUAGUAGCAACGUGCUUGAAAUUUAAAGGAAGCGAAAGGCCUACGAUGAAAGAAGUGGAGUAUAAACUACAGAACCUAAUAAGGAUUAGAAAGAAUGGAGGACGUCAUAUUGCAGAAGGUAAUGAAGAAACUGAGUACCUAUUGAGCGAUUCAUCUUAUACUUUCUCUGAUUCAGUUGACCAAGCAACCGAAGGGACAUCCAGGAAUUAUAGCUUAGAAAAAGAAUUCAUGUGGUCACAUUAUAACCCACGGUGAUUGUGUACUGCACUAAUAUUUAUAUUUGUGUGUAUUGACAAUAUAAACCUAACGCAUCUUAUGUGUGGGUCAUUAUAUGUCAUGUGGUGAACACGUGAGAACGUUAUGUAGCAAAGGACUGGUAUUGUCAUCGGUAUGCUUGUAUCUUAUUAUAUAUCUGAUCAUAAUAUGUAUACAGCUUGUUUGCUUAAUGGCCCAUGUUAAUCUUCCCUUUCUUGAAUCUAUAGUGUUAAUGACAAUUAUGAUGAUGAUACUUAUGAAAUGUUGAGUUCUCAAAAUCAAGAAUCGAAACCAUCGGUUUUGGUUCCGAUUUGGAUGAUUUCUAUUCCGAUUUUAAAAAAUAUUUUUAAAUAUAAAAAAUCAUAAAUUUUUAAAAUUUAAAAAUAGAUGUAUAACUAUAAUAGGCAAGGCUGAUAUAAAAAAAUAUAUAAAAUUUUUAAUCAAACUAAAUAACUCUUCGAAAAAAAAUCUUUAAUCAAACAUAAAACCACUCUCAAGACUCAAACCCACAUUCAUUGAUUUAAAUUUAACAUUUUAGUCACUAUAAUAUAUAUAUUAUAUAAUUAUUUUUAAAAAUAUUUCAACAGUUUAAAAUCGAAAUCAUCAGUUUGGAAUCAAAAUCAUCGGUUUUAAUUUUUUAAAUAAAAAAUUAAACCCGAACCACGAUUCCGAUCCAAUUUUAAUUCCAACUUAAUUCGAUUUUGAUUAGAACAGUAACAGAACCCGGACAUGCUCCGACCAACAUGAAGUUCAUGUUACGAGUGUACAUAGAACAGGUCUAAUCAACUUUGUUGACCGCUGUACCGUCUUUUGAGUCGUGCCAAGUCAUCAUCAUCUAUAUCAGCAAUCUACCCCUUCGUGAGCAUCUGCAAGUCGUCCCUCCAGUAAGUCUCGCUCCUCCAUCACAGCUACUGCGGGUUCGAUACAUCAUCUAUAUCAACAAUCGAUCUCUCUCUGUGUGGACAUCUUUGCAGGCGUCCUUCAAGCCAACAGCCAGAGACGCGAAGGUGAGUGUACUUUGCUCUCCCAUUACUCCUGUCUUCUUCACAAGUUUGACAUUAAAUUUCUUUGCUGCGCUUCUUACUUGCCUAUUUGCACUCAGCUGUUUCCAAAUCUAUUUUAGACGGAGAUGUUAAGUCGUUAAACAUUUUUUUGGAUGAUCAUUUUAUGACAGAAAUAUCAGAUUUUGAAGUCUUAAGAUCUAUUCCGCUUGGUCAAACUCAUAUAAUCAAUGCUACACAAGGUACCUUUGGAUACCUAGAUCCAGAGUAUUAUCAUACUAAUCAAUAAACUGAGAAGAGCGAUGUUUAUAGUUUUAGAGUCAUUCUCUUAGCACUUUUAACAGGAAAAAACCUAUCGUUUCCAUAGAACAAACAGAGUCUAUCAAUGUAUUUUCUUCAGGUAAUGAGAUAGAGACACUUGUACGAAUUCAUAAAAGAUCUUAUUAUGAAAGAAAUAAUCUAAACAAGAUUUUAUGGAAAUCAUCAAGAUGAUAGAAAUGUGGUUGAGGUUAAAAAGAAUUGAAAGACCUACGAGUACAAUUUACAAAACCUGAGAAAAAUUAAAAAUAGAGGAGCAUAUAAUAUUGUAGAUGGUGACGAAGAAACCAAGUAUCAGCUAAGUGAUUGAUCUUAUGUUUUCUCUAAUUCAACUGACCAAGCAAUUUAAGAGACAUCUAGAAAUUAUAGCUUAGAGAAGGAAUUCAUGUAGUCGCCAAAUAACCCUCAUGUGGGUGAUGUUCGGAUUCUACUAGUAUUCACAUUUAUAUUGACCACUUGAACUCUCUUUCUCUUGUGCCUACUAUAUAGUGUGUAUAAUAUUUGGGGUCAAGGAUCUCACGAAACCCUCAUGUUGGUGGCAUGAUGUUGCAGAAUAUAGUUCCAAAUAAUUCCAGGAUUGUUAUCGACUUGUACUUCCACUGGCAAGUUAAACUAUGCCCGAUAAAUGGUCAUACAAGCUAUGCUUUACGUGCAUCAGAUCAUGUGUAUUGCGCGUUUGCUUAAUCUUUCUCUCGUUUGAAUGGUCAGAUCAUGCUCCAUUCUCGUUCCACCCUUUAGUUCGCAUUCCAUUAUAGGUAUGUAUGGUCUCACGUCUUUCCUAACGUUAAUAGAUAACAGGUUCUGUUCUUUUUUUCUUGGAAUUCAGGAAUCCCUGUUGGAUGUGAAUCCGAGGGUAGCAACGGGAUGUCGUUUUCUUUGCUUUGAGUUAAGAUUUUGUAGUUUUGACAAGCAUAUUAAAAGAUAAAGUUUACUAUUUAAAGUCCUUUUUAUUAUUGAUAAUUUUUAAAAAUAAUAAAAUAUUAUUUUACUAUUUAUGGUUUUGGUAGUAUUGAUAUUUCUUAUUCUCCAAAACCCUUUAUUUCAUCCUAUUGAUGUCGCUUGAUAUCGUUCGACCCCACUUAUCGCCCCUUAGGAAAAAAAAACAAAUUGAUACAAAGGAGAAUGAUAAAGAACAAUAAGAAAAGGAAGCAGAAGAGAAUAUUUAUUUUUGUUUACAGAGGAUAGUAUAAAAAUAUUUGAAACUUUUAAAUAGAAUUACAAAUAACAAAAAGGGGUUACAAACAAUAUUCUUCCUUUUAAGGAGAAGAUAUUACUUUUUAACCUAUUCUUACUAUUUUAUACUCGAGGAAUCAUGUCAAGGAGUGAUGAGCAUGCAAGCAGCAAGCAACGUUAGACAUGAACAGUAGCAAAUAACAUAAUAUUUUAUUUUUUUUAAAUGAUUGUCGAAAGUAAGAAAGAUUGUCAAUUGUAAAAAAAAGAGGCUAUGAACAGUAGCUUCCCUAUAAAUUGGAUUAAAAAAACCGCGGACAUACGGUGGUCCUAAACAUGGACUGUGCAUCCCUGACAAAAAGCAUACUCUUUUGUUAGGUAUGUGGAACUGUAUGAUUGAGUAAUUGAAAUGGAAAACAAAAAAAACAAAAGAAAUAAAAGAGAAACUAAACGUCAUUGACAAAGCUAUGAAACACAAACGGGAAGUUAUAUGAAGCUAAAACUUGAUUAUGUGUAGGUUUUUGUGGUUCUAAGAAAGAAAUGGAAGGAAAGAAAUAAAAGAAAAUACGGGUAAAGUACGUCCGUCAAAAUUAUGGAUUACCACUACAACAGUUUAUCUAUUCCAAUGAAAAUAUUGCACGGAGAACAAAAAUAUUUUCUGUAGAAGAUAAAAUCAAUUAACAAUUUUUAUGAGAAUCGAAUAUUCGAUGGUGGAGGACAUGGAAAAGUUCGAAAGGAAUUCUACCGGAUCAAGGUGCAGUUGCCAUAAAAAAUCAAAAAUUAAGAAGGAGAAUGAGAUAAAUCAAUUCAAAAAUAAGAUUGUAAUUCUUUCUCAAAUUAUAGCUUGGAGACACAUAAUUUAUAUAAUUCAUGGAUACACAUCCAUGAAUUAUAGCUUGGAGAAGGAACUCUUGUGGUCACACGAUUACCCAAGGUGAGUUUGAUCUCCACUCAUGCCUAUAUAAUGUUGCAGUGUAUUAGAUUUGGGUUUAACCAUAUCAUGUAAUGCGGUUUUGGGUAAUGUUGUGUUUGAAAUUUUCAUCCCAAAUACAUUUCAAAGUUCAUGUGAUACCCACAUAGAGUGAGAACAAUUUUGCGACGAAAAUUUGGUAGGUUAAUCUGUGUUCUAUUGAAAUCGCUGGUAAUAAGCUUGUAUAAAGUCAAUUUUCGUUCGGUAUAGCCUUUGUAUGUACCACAUCAUAUGCACAUUAUACAUUUGUUUUAUCAAUACGUACCACAUUAGGGAGCGAUGCAAAAACUUGGUGGAAGUCAAUCCAUUGAUCUUUUUAUUCUCAUUUCACAUAAGGUGACCCAUGGUGAUUGAUUUGUCUACAUGAUGUAACGCAAGUAGCAGGACAAGGCCACUUGUAGAACGAAAGGUGAGUCUCUAUCUCUUCUAUCCAAAGAAGUAGCAAUGUUGGAUUACAUAAUUCAAGCACGAGCUCCUGUGGCACAAAUGUAGACGGGUGGAUGCACAAAGGCCACACCUUCUGAAGCGUGAACGUGAUGUUCACGCUAGAUAGACUCGUGCUGCUGUUUUGACGACUAAUGAUCUAAUGAGGCGACUUAAACUGAUUGUCUUGUUGACUAUCUAAGAGACGAGUUGUUGAAAUAUUACGUUAACAUCAAUUGGAAUUUCUAAGUCACUCAUAUAAAUUUAACAUCGUGCUCUUUCCUUUUCUUUCAAGUUCAGGAGGUUGUCAAGAAAGGGCGAGGUCUAUAGAGUCAGGGUCCAUUUUAAUAUAUCAUUUUCUAUGUCAAACGAAUUAUUUGUAAUUAUCCUCGUUGUGGAAAGUGAUGGUCAAUUAAGAGAAGCCAAUCAUAAUUUUCUUUCUCUGUAGUUAUUGUUUUAAACAUUUAAAACGAUUAUUGAGUAAUUCAGCACUCCCUUAGUUUCUAACUCGAUGAUAUUCAUCAUAUAUUUUUACCGUUCUAUCUUCACAUAUUGUGCGUAAAGUAUAUGACACGGUAUAACCGUUUAGCACCCAUACAUAUAUAUAACUAUAACUAAUUAUUCAACCAUAGUAAUAAUGGGUUAUUCAUUUAUUGUUUUCUUUUUCACCAUAGCAACGAGAUUAACUCAUAUAUAGUUUUGAGUAGGAAGGUAAGUAAAGUAAGAUUUCUAAAGCUUUUAAAUCUAAAUUAAUGCAAACUUGAAUAUAAAGAUAGUAUCAGCUAACAAGAAGGUGUAAAAAAGUUGUGUGAUAGAUAUAUUACUGCUAAAUUAUGCUUAAGCACCUUAAGUUAAUAGUUCAUAUAUAAAGAAGUUAAUAGGUUAGUAUCUUGUUAGGUUGAUUGGUGACAAACAGACAUGAUGAAAGAAUGAAGAUUAAUUUAUAAGAGGCAGAUAUUAGCUUGGAUAGAAUAAAAAAACUUCAAAAAAGAAAAUACUGUACUCUUAUGCUAUAAAAUGAUUCAUCUUUGUAUCAACCUUACAUGUCAUAUUUCUUGAGUCACUUUUUUUUGUGACAGAGAGGAGGGAGAACUAGUGAGUUAAGUGGAAGUCAGGAUAGUUCCUCUUUAAACAAGAAGUAGAGAACAACAACCUAAAGAAAAAUCCAAACAUAAUGUCUCACUCGUAGAUGGACCACUAAGCGUAGACCAAUAAGAGAAAAUAUGAAAAGAAUAAGCUACCUGAAAAUCCACAUUUAUCCGAGAAAAUAUAUAUAUAUACUUCAAAGAUAAAGACAUUACUUGACAAUCCAACAAUAACUUCAACUAUACGUAACUGCACCAUCAGAUUCCAUCAAAAUGUUGAAAUGAUCAUUGUUUAGCUGUUAGUAUAUAAGUUAAGUCCUAAUUUUUGUCACUAGUAGCGAGAUUUUUUUAGAAAGUAAUUUCAUAUCUAAAAUGAAUUAAGAAAUGAAUAGUUUAGGAUUAGUCCUGCUAUCAAUAUUGGUCCAUAAAUUAAAUAAGUUUUUUAUAUUACAAUCAUGAUAUAUUACCCUACUUAUGGCUUGACUAAUUAUUACCUAUCCAAAUUCGAAGAAUAAAUUAGAGAACGACUCACAUGGAAGUUUCUAAGGAUAAUUUCUCUUCGAACAAAGGGAGAACAAUAACUCAAUAGAAAAUCCGAACAUGAUCUCACUUAUACAUGAACGCUUUAGACAACUACAAGCAUAGACCAAUAAGAGAAAAUUGUGAAAAGUAGAGACUACCUGAAAGAGCAUAUUUAACUUCAAAGAUACAGAUAUUAUUUGACAAGCCAACAAUAACUUCAACCAUACGAUACUUCACUAUCCAAUUAGUACGUCGAAAAGACCAUUGGUUGGCUGUUGGUAUAUGAGUUAAAUCAUUAUUUUUGUUAUUAGUUGUAGGAUUUUAUUAAAAAGUAAUUUUAUAUCUAAAAUAAAUUUAAAAUGAGUAGUUCAGGAUUAGUCCUGUUAUCAAUAUUGGUCUAUAAACUAAAUAGCAUAAGAUUUUAGAUUACAAUCAUGCUAUAUUACCCUAAUGAUGGUUUGACUAGUUGUUUUUUGUCCAAAUUCAAAGAAUAAACCACAUUGAAAUAAGAAGACAAAAGCGAGAAUGACUCACAUGAAAGUCUCUAAGGAUAAUUUCUCUUCGAACAAGAAAUAAUAGCAACCCAAUGGAAAAUUCAAAUAUGAUAUCUCACUUGUACAUUGACACUUUAGACGACUACAAGCAUAGAUUAAUAAGAGAAGAUGUGAAAAGUAUAGGCUAGUUGAAAUUUCAUAUUGUACCAUCCGAUUAGUACAUUAAAAUGAUCAUUGUUAGUAUACGAGUUAAAUCCCAAUUUUUGUUAUUAAUUAAGAAAUGAGUAGUUCAGGAUUAGUCAUGCUAUCAACAUUGGUCAUAAACUCAAUUUUAUAUCUAAAAUAAAUUAAGAAAUGAGUAGUUCAGGAUUAAUCAUGCUAUCAAUAUUGGUUCGUAAACUAAAUAAUAUAAGUUUUUAGAUUACAGUCAUGCUAUAUUACCUUAUUGAUGACUUGACUAGUUGUUCCCUGUCUAAAUCUGAAGAAUAUUCAUACAAGAAGAUAGAAACGAGAAUGAUUGACAUGAAAAUUUCUAAGUUUCUCUUCAAAUGAAAAGAUAAUGGCAACCAAAGGAAAAUCCAAAUAUGGUAUCUCACUUGUAUAUGGAUGCUUUGGAUGGCUACAAGCGUAACUAAUGAGAGAAAAAAUGUGAACGUAUAGACUAGCUGAAAAUUCACAUUUAACUUCAAUAAUAAAGAUAUUACUUGAUAAGCCAACAAUAACUUCAACCAUGCUGCACUAUCCGAUUAAUACUUUGAAAUGACCCUCGUUUAGUAUAUGAGUCAAAUACCAAUUUUUGUUACUAGUUGUGAAGGAUACACCACAAAGACUUGAUUUUUCAGCAUGGAGAAACGUAUCAUAUCGUUGUUCGUGCCCGAUGGAACAGCUUCCACAAGUCCAAACAGAUAGCAAUACCCUCUACAAUUCUAGUCAAGUCUGUUCAGUAGUGUAGUUCUAAUUAUUGCUCUGAAACAAAUACUCCGAAGACAACAUUUAUACUUUUAUUCCCCUUCAUUCACAUGUAACCUUUUAAGUGUUUGUUAGAUAUUACUUAAACAAGAAGGAUUGGGUCUUCGGAAAAAGAUAUUUUUAAAUUUUAAUUUUACUUAUGUGGUUUUAUUAUUUUACUCUAAAAUUGAUUUAAAUUUUUUUCCUAAAUUAUCUGAGGCGUUGUGCUUGCAAAUUACUAAUCUAAAUAUUGGUAAGUUCUAUAUAUCUUGGGGCUCAGGUCAAGUUUUUAAGUCAAAAUGCAUGUUUUGCGUCCUACUUGAAAUUUCCACAAGCACAAGAAAUUGUUUCCAAGGGAGGACAGAUAACAGAUAACGCAAGUUAACAUCACAAAAUAUUCUACCGUAGGAUUUAGUGCAAAGACUUGGAAGUCAAAGUCCAUUGAUGUUUUGGAGAUGUGAUAGUCAUGGCAUUAAUCUUUCUCCUGUUUGAACUGGCAUGUCAGAUAAAAUUAAGAAAUCAAUUAUAAUAUUUGCAAGAAUGGAGACUUUUCUCCUUUUUUUUCUCCUUAUAUAUAUUACCACCAUAUACAAACUCUAAAGAGGGAAUGGUUGUGAAGCAGGUGUCAUGAUAACUUGAAUUGAUUCUCACCCUGUCAUCAUGAAAUCAUUCUCCAUUCUCGUUCCACCAAUUUAUUCGCAUUCCAUUGUAGGUGCUAUUGCACGUUGUACCUAGUUCUGUUCUCUUUUCCUGGAAUUCACAAACGCCUGUCGGAUGUGAAUCCGAAGGCAAACUUGAAACCGAGUAAAGAACCGAUUGUUCUUUUGAAAGAUCAUAGGAGUCAGCAAUUGGAUGUCAUCCGCCAUCUUAUCAGGUGAGAAACGCACUGUGAAUGGUUUAAUUUCCAGGUGGGUUAUACUCAAUCUAUCCCAAUCAAGCUAUUGGCGUCGAUGAUGGUUUGUAUUCACUUUAUCCUUGAAAGAUAUGCAAGCGAUGCAUCAAACUUCAUUUGUCUCAAUCACGUACCGUAAAAGGUGAGGCCAUAUGACCACGACAAGGCCGGUUUUGCACCAAUACUUCGUCCGAGGCCCCAACGAAGGAAGACCGGCUUCUCAUUGAACCAAAUUUAUGGCUUUUAAGGGUGUUGUUUACUUUAUGAGUACAGUACAAGCUCAGGUCGAUACUCAGAAGCCUUCUAAAGUCAGUUGUUUAUGCGUGAUUAACAAUUCCAUAAUGGUCAUAAUAUACACGAGUAAAUUACGCAACACUUAGUCAGUAUAGCUAUUCAGCAACCACACAUAUAAUUCGAAGUCGACAUAUUUGCAUGCAGUAUUGGGUUGUUCAUUUUAUUUUCUUUUUCACCGUAGCAUUGAGAUCGACCCGGAUAUUGUUUUUGUACGAUGGACAAUGGAAUUAGAUUUCCCGAGCCUUUGGAAGUGGCAAUGAUUCCGACCAACUUAGUCGUUUGGAGAAAAAAGAUGCAUUGCAUCAUAACUGGUGGCCGAUGGAACAGCUCUGACGAGUUCAAAGAGGUAAGCAGUACCCACUAAAAGUCUAGUCAACUUUGUUGAUUGGCUUGCCAUCUCCAUCUGCAAGCGUGGUUAGUUAUAACUCCAGCAAUUGUUUCGAGCACAUCAUCUAUAUCAACGACCUAACUCCCUAUUGCAGGUGUCCUUCAAGAUAGAGUAACAACCAGAGACGCGAAGGUGAGUGGAAUUUGCUCUCCCAUUACUCCGGUCUUCUUCACAAGCUUUACAUUUAAUUUCUUUGUUGCGCUUCUUCGUUUUCCUUAGUAACAUCGAUGCAAAACGGAUGUAUAUGAUCAUAUAAUUUCGAUUCUUGUGCUAGAGAUCCUCCAUAUCUUGGGCUACAGCUACAACCUCAGUAGUAUCAUGAUUGGGAAUUUUGCAUCUGUUAAUUAUCAUACAUAGCUUCUCCUGUAGCUGCGUUUUUGGUAUUACCGUAGAGUGUUUUAUGCCUUGCCCAUGUCGCCGAUUCAAGUUACUCUCUGACCUGCAGGAAUCCCGCUUAAUCGAACAGGACUGAGGCAGCUGGAAGAGGGAAACGUUAGAGAGAGAGAGAGAGGAUGGGGUGGGUGGAACUGUUGCUGCUGCUUCUGACAUUGAGUUCAAUGGGUUUAACAAAUGCAGAAAGCGCAUCGACAAAGGAACCUUUCACUUUACCUUCCAAUUGCACAAAAAGAUGCGGUAAUAUCAGCAUCGAGUACCCUUUCGGGAUAGGCAAUGGUUGUUAUCGUCCUGGCUUUAAUCUUACUUGCACGAACUAUACCAACCAACCUCCAAGGCUCUUCUUGGGUGAUGGAAAAUUCGAGAUCACUAGAAUCGAUUUGGAUAAUGGGACCGUGAGCGUCAUGACACCCAUUAUCACCAUGGGUGUAGAUGAGGAGUUCAUUAAUGUUACUUUAAUUGAUCUUCAGAAUUUGCCUUGCUCUUUAAAAUCAUUGGAUCUGCGGAAUUAUUACCCAAGAUAUACAUAUAAUCGUUUGUAUGUGUCUGGUUGCAGCGUGGUUGCCGACCUAGUGGAUCCCACCACCAAUAGGACUAUCGGUACUUGCAUAACUAGAUGCACUUCCAAUGACAACAGUCAGUGCAAACUUGAUUUAUAUGAUUGGAAUAGUACUUCAUUGGAGGUUCGAUUAACUCGACUCAAUCAGAGUGACUUUCAUUUGCUUGAUGCUUCCAUUAUCAAAGUUUUCGUGUACGAUUAUUACAAUUCUACCAUAUAUGAUCUCCAAAGAAUAGUGAAAGGCAGGAGCUCGGAAGUGGAGACUGCCCUAUCAUGGUACAUCAAAGACUAUCAUACCUGCGAAGAGGCUAAGAAGAAUAUGAAAACUUAUGCCUGCAUCAGUCCCAAUAGCGACUGUUAUGAUGUCAUUAAUUAUUAUAACUACACUGAUUAUAAUUUUGGGUACUUUUGUCAAUGUUCUGUUAAUUAUCAAGGCAACCCAUAUCUACCAAAUGGCUGUCAAGGUAAUAUUCCUCCUCAUCUCUCUUUGUGUGAGUUCGAUUAGAUAAACAUGAUAUGCAAUAGAAGUGAUUAAAUAUAAUACACGCAUGAUAAGUUUAAAUAUUCUUCGUGGUUCUCUGUUAUGCUUGAUACUGGUUUCUCUUUUUUUGACAAUCAAACUGGUAAAAGGGAUGUUUACUUGUGUAAAGAAAUCCAUCUUACUAUUAAAUAAGACUUGUUACAUAGUAGAAUAGGCUAAAUGCUGUAAUGGCUUGAAUCCCCUGCUCAUUAGAUAAUUAAAUGGUACAACAUACAUUAGAUCCCUAGGCCAUUUGCCUUAUCCAUCUCCAUAAUAACACAGGAGAAAGUCUGGUCUUCGUAUCUACAAUCCUACGCCUUCGGGAUUUUAUGAUCGCUACUCACUUAUUCUCAAUGCUUGGCUUACGAUUUUGAUUUUUUAGAUAUAAGUCAAUCUUACAGCUCCUUUUGGCCAUCCGAUAACGAAAAACAUGGUAAGCUUACGACAACUUCUGCUGCUGACCUGCUUCAUCAUAUCAACAGAUACAUCUUUUAUUCUACAGCCGGUGAAUGGCUGUCCAACCAAAUGUGGGAGUGUUGACAUCCCUUUUCCAUUCGGGCUAAACGAAGGGUGUUAUAGAGACCAAUCAUUUGCUCUAACGUGCAACCACACGUCAAAUCCUUCCACUCUUCUCUUCCAAGAGGAUUACAUAGUGCACAGUAUAUUAUUGAAGAAAGGGCAAUUAGAAGUUGAGUAUAAAUACAAUGAAGCCGACGGCUAUACCUAUACAACUACACCUUUCACUUUCGUUGACGAGCAGCCCAUUGUUAGUUGGGUCAUUGAGAAUCAACAUUGCAAGGAUGCUCAAAGCAAUAGGACCACGUUUGCUUGUGUCGAUGAACACAGCUUAUGUCUGGACAUUAACACCACAACAAGCGAUGGUCAAAAUAUCUUGGGGUACCGUUGCAAUUGCUCCACAGGUUACGAAGGAAAUCCAUACCUUAGUAAUGGAUGUACAGGUACUUGAUUCCUUUACCUCUCUCUUAAAUGUUAAAAAUUAGUCAUGCAAUUAAAUCUACACAAUGUUAAAAGCAAAAAAAAAAAAGGCUAGCCAUGAAAUAGACGCCGAAUACUUUCACAUUCAGAGACUUCGUUUUUUAUCUUAUUUGUCCAAUUAUCCAUUCAAAAGUUUUCCUUGUUUCUCAUUUAUGCACUGAUACGUGCCUGUUAUUUAUUUGCAUGAUUCCCUAAAAAUCCUUCUCAAGAAUUGUGCAUACCGAUAUCUUCAGCUACCUUAACUGCAUAUCUGAAUAACGAAAUCGAAUUUAUUACGUGUAAGAUGGUGCCAACUUAGUACAUGACUCCCUAUAUAUUUUUUUAUAGGACAAUUUUAUCAUCCAGAACCUAUCAAAUUUAUACUCCUUGUUCUUCUAUGGGGGAGAAAUUACUCUGGAAAUGCAUACAAUAUUUUUCCUUCUAUAAACAGUAACGUUAAUUACCAAAGAGUACCAUUUCAUCGCAAAAAUAAUUUUGUCAUUUGAUCACAAAAGCUAAUAUUUAAUCGUCAGUGUGCAGCUCAGAAAAAAAUUAUGUAAACUGUGUGCAUGGUAAUUAUCAUUUAAAAGAUCGAGUUCUGAGUUUAACGUGAGAUAUAGCUACUAACUUUCUUUUUUAUGAUUUGUCCAGAUAUCGAUGAGUGUAAAUUCCCCGACAGAUACAUCUGCAAUGGGGUUUGUAAUAACACGAUGGGCAGUUAUAGCUGCACAUGUCCACGAGGGACAACUGGUGAUCCUAAACGAGCAUGCAUCCCCGACAAAAAGCAGACUGUUCUAUUGGGUAAGUCCUCCAAACUUAUUGGUUUAUAAAGAUGCAAUAGGAAUAUUAGUACGUCUGAUAUAAAUCAAAGUAUAUAUACAAAUGAUUGAGCAAAUAGAAAUAAAGAACCAAAACAUGCACAAAAAUUAAUGUACACAGGCUGCAAUGUGAGAAUAGAAUACUCAAUGGUUGGUAUCUACAGGUGUCAUCAUCGGCGUAAGCAAUGGCGUGGGCCUAUUUCUGUUGAGUACUAGUUUGAUCAUCCUUAGGAGGAAAUGGAAGAAAAGAAAACAAAAGAGAAUAAGAGAAAAACACUUCCGUCAGAAUCAUGGUUUACUGCUACAACAACUAAUUUCUUCCCGUGAAGAUGUUGCUGAGAGAACAAAGAUAUUUCCUCUGGAAGAGGUCGAAAAGGCAACCAAUAAUUUUGAUGAAACUCGAGUGAUCGGUCGUGGAGGACACGGAACAGUUUACAAAGGGAUUCUGUCGGAUCAACGCGUAGUCGCCAUAAAGAAGUCAAAGAUUGUGAAGAAGAGCGAGAUAGAUCAAUUCGUCAAUGAGGUUGCAAUUCUUUCUCAAAUUAAUCACAGAAACGUGGUAAAGCUUUUUGGAUGCUGCUUGGAGACCGAAGUGCCCUUAUUGAUCUAUGAAUUUAUCUCAAACGGAGCUCUUUCGGACCAUCUCCAUACUUCAGAUGGUAGUUCUGCAUUGUCAUGGGAAGCUCGUCUGAGGAUCGCUGCAGAAACCGCAGGAGCACUUGCUUAUUUGCACUCGGCUGCUUCAAUAUCUAUUUUACACAGGGAUGUAAAGUCAUCGAAUAUUCUCUUGGAUGAUCACUUCACAGCAAAAGUAUCAGAUUUUGGAGCUUCAAGAUUUAUUCCACUUGAUCAAACUCAUAUAGUCACCGGUAUUCAAGGGACCUUUGGAUACUUGGAUCCAGAGUAUUAUCAAACAAGUCAAUUGACAGAAAAGAGCGAUGUUUAUAGCUUUGGGGUCAUUCUUCUGGAGCUUUUAACGGGAAAGAAACCUAUUUUCUCCAUCGAACAUGAGAAUAAACAGAACCUGUCAAUGUAUUUUCUCCAAGAACUGAAAGAGAAGCGCUAUUUUGAUCUCGUGGAGGAUCGUGUUAUGAAAGAAGGGACUAAACAAGAGCUUAUAGAAGUUAUUCAACUAGU
Molecule: long non-coding RNA, 13559 nt
Filed under: Musa acuminata (dwarf banana)
Lineage: Eukaryota; Viridiplantae; Streptophyta; Magnoliopsida; Zingiberales; Musaceae
Description: long non-coding RNA (MACU_LNC000803)
Source: RNAcentral